AAAGGAAUAGACGGGGACCCGCACAAGCAGCGGAGCAUGUGGUUUAAUUCGAAGCAACGCGAAGAACCUUACCAAGACUUGACAUCUAUAUGACCUUCCUAGAAACAGGAACUCUCUUCGGAGCAUAUAGACAGGUGGUGCACGGUUGUCGUCAGCUCGUGUCGUGAGAUGUUUGGUUAAGUCCAGCAACGAGCGCAACCCUUAUCAUUAUUUGCCAAUAUUAAGUUAGGAACUAUAGUGAGACUGCCGUAGAUAAUACGGAGGAAGGUGGGGAUGACGUCAAAUCAUCAUGCCCCUUACGUCUUGGGCUACACACGUGCUACAAUGGCUAUUACAAAGAGCAGCGAUAUGGUAACAUGGAGCAAAUCUCAUAAAAAUAGUCUCAGUUCGGAUUGUGGGCUGCAACUCGCCCACAUGAAGUAGGAGUUGCUAGUAAUCCCGAAUCAGAACGUCGGGGUGAAUGCGUUCCCGGGUCUUGUACACACCGCCCGU
This 492-nucleotide ribosomal RNA is filed under the name uncultured bacterium. Its description in RNAcentral is "bacterial SSU rRNA". It matches the Rfam family "Bacterial small subunit ribosomal RNA", at positions 903 to 1397 of the family's 1533-position model. The record is from RNAcentral.